GCUGGACUUUCCAAGUCUCGGGCCGAUUUCCCCGUGUCGGGAGCCAAAGGAGCAAGGCAGCGCCAAUCGAUGAGCGAGCGCGCCAACGCCGGCCGCUGGAGGCACGGGGGCUGGAGCGCGGGGCCCAGUGGAGGAGCUCGGUCGCAGUUCGAGGCCUGGGCGCUGGCCCAGCGAGUGGGCCUGUUAGGUUACAGCAUUAUCCAUUUUGAAGUUAAGGAUUUCUAAAUUCGGCAUGGACCCUGGACACAACAUUGAACAAAAAGAGAAAAGCGAAGAACAAUGAAAAUGUAAUUAGAAUACUAUACAAGAUUUCAG
Molecule: long non-coding RNA, 315 nt
Filed under: Saimiri boliviensis boliviensis (Bolivian squirrel monkey)
Lineage: Eukaryota; Metazoa; Chordata; Mammalia; Primates; Cebidae
Description: lncRNA (ENSSBOG00000036476.1)
Source: RNAcentral